AGAGUUUGAUCAUGGCUCAGAGUGAACGCUGGCGGUAGGCCUAACACAUGCAAGUCGAACGGCAGCACAGUAAGAGCUUGCUCUUAUGGGUGGCGAGUGGCGGACGGGUGAGGAAUACAUCGGAAUCUACCUUUUCGUGGGGGAUAACGUAGGGAAACUUACGCUAAUACCGCAUACGACCUUCGGGUGAAAGCAGGGGACCUUCGGGCCUUGCGCGGAUAGAUGAGCCGAUGUCGGAUUAGCUAGUUGGCGGGGUAAAGGCCCUCCAAGGCGACGCUCCGUAGCUGGUCUGUGAGGAUGAUCAGCCCCUCUGGUUCCGAGACACGGUCCAGACUCUUACGGCAGGCUGCAAUGGCCGUCUUUUUCCAGAGAUCCAUCUCUGUGCCGGACUCCUCGAUCCACCUUCUCGUCGUGUGUUCCAAUGUCAACAAGACUAGUGGCCAUUGAUUACCGAAUUCA
RNAcentral lists this ribosomal RNA (459 nucleotides) under uncultured bacterium. RNAcentral describes it as "bacterial SSU rRNA". It matches the Rfam family "Bacterial small subunit ribosomal RNA", at positions 8 to 386 of the family's 1533-position model. The record is from RNAcentral.